This 226-nucleotide ribosomal RNA is filed under the name uncultured bacterium. RNAcentral's name for it is "partial 16S ribosomal RNA". It matches the Rfam family "Bacterial small subunit ribosomal RNA", at positions 15 to 230 of the family's 1533-position model. The record is from RNAcentral.
GAUCCUGGCUCAGGAUGAACGCUAGCUACAGGCUUAACACAUGCAAGUCGAGGGGCAGCAUGGUCUUAGCUUGCUAAGGCCGAUGGCGACCGGCGCACGGGUGAGUAACACGUAUCCAACCUGCCGUCUACUCUUGGACAGCCUUCUGAAAGGAAGAUUAAUACAAGAUGGCAUCAUGAGUCCGCUAUGUUCACAUGAUUAAAGGUAUUCCGGUAGACGGAUGGGG